This is a long non-coding RNA of Triticum aestivum (bread wheat), 4602 nucleotides long. RefSeq lists it as uncharacterized. The transcript is spliced from 4 exons. NCBI's taxonomy places the organism in Eukaryota, Viridiplantae, Streptophyta, Magnoliopsida, Poales, Poaceae. The record is from RefSeq and is a predicted model, not a curated record.
UUGGGGCUGCCAUCGUGGUGUUUUGCAUCCGCACAUAAUCUGUAGGUGUUAUCAUCGGAUAUAUGUGCUGGAUUUUCAAUUUAUGGCAUGACAUGUGAUGGAAUUUCAGCUGGAGGUGGUUGUUACCUACUGGUGAGAGAAGCUAUUGAUAACACACCAUGCAUUGCAAACAUAAAGAAAAACAUUAUUGUGCAUACAUGUCUGUACUACUGAUGCUAUUUUACAUGGAAAUCAGUGAAUUGGUUUGGUUUGGUUUGUGAUGCUGACAUGCUGUAGUGAUAGUAGUAUGAUUAUACAUAAGAAAAUUACUAUACUAUUCUAUUUGCAACAAGCUGGGUCUGUGCUGGUCUGUUCUGAAAAAUGUCCAACUAGAUAGCUUCUGCCACUUUUGGUUAUAUUCAGGGGUAAUUAAUCUGUACUCAUACAGUUGAUAAUGCAAUUCAGGGGUGUCAAUCGUAUUAUAUUAACAACAAUCUGUCUUAGGUUCUUUUGUUCAAAUAUCUGCCCAGGAUGUUUCUGUGUAAUCUUACAUUCAGAACUCAAGCUUAUUAUUGAAUUUGGUAACUAGAUUAUGCAUUUUGGUUCAUAUCCAUGUCUGUAGGGUGUGCCCAGUUUUCAAUGCAUUGCAAUGCCUGUUCAGGUUAGUGAUUUGGGAGAAAUAUGUGCAGCGGGUAGUAGUUGCUGCUUCCUAACAAAGGAAGUCUGACUACACAAAUAAUUAAUCUGUGUUCCAGAAUUAGACCGCAUCCUCAUUGUUUAUAGAUGCACCAAGCAAUGAUUGAUGCUUGCUAAUUAUAGGAAUGGUAACUUCUUGCAUAAUUAAUCUAUAGGUUACAUAGUCCAUUAGGCCAUCUGCUUAUUGUUUAUAUACGAAAAAAUAACAGUUACUCCUUGCUGAUAAAGGAAAGUUGGGUAGGAAGAAAUCUACAUAGACAACCUUCUGAUUUUUUAUAUAUGCAUCAAGCAAUAGUUGGUACUCGCUGAUUACAUUAAUGGUAACUACAGAAACUUUUCUAUGCUCAGCAUUAUCGGCGCUCUCAGAUUUGGAGUUGUACUUUGUUAUUGUGAAUAAUGAAUAUGGUCAACAAUCUGAAGAAGAGUCAACUUCUACCGGGAGAGUGAUGGGUGUUACUGCCGGGAGAUCUGCUUCUUGCCGGGACAGUGAUAUGUGUUACUAAUCUCCUAUUUAGUGUUGCUCUAGGAUCGGUAGUACUAUAUGAAAGAUCAAACAUUGCAUUCCUCUUGUUCUAAUGCAAAUGAUUGCUUAUGUGGUUGCAGAUCGAUUUGCGAUCCGUUAAGCGGACCAUGGUGUCACGGAAUGAGCAAUCAGAGAAAAGUGUUUUCACCAAAAGUGAGGUGAGAUGUUUCUGUUCAUCUUGGUUGUACUUAAGAUAAGAUUUAGCUACAGAUAAUCAUUAAUCACCUAAUGUAUUUCUUUGCCAAGUGUGCAGUUAGAGUUAAUGUGUCACUGGUUAUUUUACAUCCUUUAUUCUUAUUCCCUUUAACCUCAAAAUGAAAUACUCUAGAAGAUUUGUUGGUGCUCCAUUAACCAAAUAUUGCUAACAAAAUGUUGUUCCCAUUUCAGUUGAGAGAAAAAUUGCAUACUUUGCGAACCAACGGAAGAUUCAUCAUUUAAUAUUAUUCUUUAAUCACUAAAUCAUAUAGGAGAUUCCUUUGGUGCCCCAUUAACCAAACAUUAAUAUAUUACUAAAAAAACUGACAAAAUGUUAUUCUGGUUGCGAUUAAGCCCUGCUGAGGCGAGGUCGUCCCUUUUACCCGCUUACAUCCUCAAUCGGUGAGUCCUGACACCCCUCUAUUGAUUGAUCCAUAUAUCGCCAGGAAAAAUGGCUAUCAGUUCAGCUACUAUUGAACUAUUAAUUAUUGUUUUUAGGGAAAUUAAUUACUCCUUGGAGAAUCAUAGAUCCAUGUUCUAUUUUUGUCAUGUAAGUUAGGUUAUAACUAUGUAGUUACAACCAUAUAUUUAGAGUUGCGAUAAAAAGCAAUUAGUAAUAGAAACAAGUCAAUUAUGCGACUUGGUUGCGUCUUUGCUACCUAUUCAGUCAAUGCAAUGCUCGAUUUUAGUUUCUUUGGGCAUGUGCUCUAUAUAGCUUUCUGGUCUCUCCUUCUGGCCUACCAUAUUGUUUUAUAAUUUAUCUCUGUUCACAAACCCAGGCUUAGUCAGUGUUACACCGUAUUAGACUAUGUAUUCUGCCCAGCAGGGAUUAUUUAUCUGUGCUUCUUGGUGUGUCUAGAGUCUUGCUUAGAGAAAAGUCAGUUCACAUCUUAGUAGCUUUUGUUGUUUAAUUAGUUAGCAUGUGCAGGUUCAUAUAGCAGUACACAUGUGUGAAUAGAAAUUCUUCAUGCAAGGUGGCAGUAAAAGGCCUUCUAAUUUUACCUUCGGCACUACAAGCAGCUAAUAGAUAGGCCCAUCGCUUGCAUGAUGAUAAGUUUUGGCCACAAGAAUGUUCUAACAAAUCUUAUCCUUGAUUGCAGCUAAAAGAGAACUGACUAGGCCCCUGAUGGUGCUCCUAGAUGUGCUACACAUCGCCUCCUUGGCCGCUUCGGUGCCAGUGGUGUUCGUGCUUGUCGGCAGGACGGUGCAAGGCGCAACUCCGACAUGGUUCCUCGCCAGUUGGAUGGUGUUCAGGCGCAACCCCGGCGCCCACUGAGUACUGCCUCGGCUACAACCUCCCUCGGUGAGCUCCAUUUUCCCCUGCCCUGCUUCGGCUACUGAAUGGGACAUGGCUAGGGCUAUGAUGAUCAGUUAUGGCUGAUAUAGGCAUGCUCUCGAGCAAUCGAGGCACUUGUGGAUAUUAUUUUGGAUCCUCCCUCAUUUCUUUGAGCCGUUUUGAUCACGUUCUUAUUUUAGUGGCUCUGUCCCUAGAUGGUCAUUUCUGAUGAGUGAUAACCAGGGCAGUUAACAUAUUGAUCUGGUGAUCCAUCCAUCCAGAAAUAAGAGAUGAAUGUUCCUACAAGCUCUCACAGCGAUUUGGAUUCUGGGCCGUUGGAUCUGGUUGCGUGAUCGGAUCUGGGCCGUCGGAUCGAGUCGCUGGAUGACCUACGCCAUCGGAUCCGAUCCUUGGAACUGUCGCAAUGAAUAGUAGUCCAAAACGCGUGCCACCGCGUGUUAAUCACGUGCCCCAUCGGUUGGAAGCCAUUCUUGCUAGGGCGAUGAUGAUUAACCGUCGCUGAAAUAAGUGUGCCUUUGAGCAGUCGAGGCACCUGUGGGUAUCAAGUUGGAUCCUCCCCCUUGUCUCUAGAAUCCUUUUUUAUCCUGAGAUACUUGUUGUUGUCCUUGUAUGGUCAUUCUUGUUGAGUGAUAACCAGGGCAGCUCUACUGUAUAAACAAAUUGAUCUGGUGAUAAGAGAUGAUGGGGUUAGGUUAUAUGAUCGAGGAAAGGUGAAUUUGAGCCCACUGUGCAAUAAAACUGCAGCUACCUCCCCUACUGUGUGUGAUACUGAAGGCAAAAAAGAACUUUUCAUGUCUUGCUACUUUAAAAAUCCAAAAGGUUCAUUCUUCCUUUGCUGGUUACUUAACCAUGAUUUUUUUUGCUUUGGUUCUGGUUGAGAUACUAAAGGUUGUUUAUAUAUGAAAAGAACAGUCACUUAUAGUUUUGUAUGCCUCAACUGUAGCUUAGGAUCCCGUGUUGUAGUGCUUUGCCUAAUUAAGAAUAACUCUAAUCAAUAAUAGUAUUUCUUUCCUUCUGAUUUGAACUGAGAGAGGGCCAUUGAUUCUUGACCUUAAGGUGACCCCAUUUUUUCUAUGCCUCAUGCUUAUGCUGCUCUAUGUUCCCUUUAAAAAUCCCGGCUGGCAUGCCUCGCCUCCACCUCCCGUGGCCCUAACCCAGGGUUUGGUUGGCGAGCUCGCUGCCGUUGGCCUUGGACGAGGAGAUUCGGCACACACACAGGAAGGAGCUCCGCCUCUGCUGCCUCUGCACACCCCAAUGGUGAUCGACCAUUUUUAAUUACUGGAUCUGAUGAUCAGACUGCAAAGGUUUGGGAUUACCAAACCAAGAGCUGUGUUCAAACACUUGAAGGACAUGCACACAAUGUGUCCGUUGUCUGUUUCCAUCCAGAACUACCUACUAUAAUUACUGGCUCAGAGGAUGGCACAGUUCGCUUGUGGUACUCUACAACCUACAGGAAACGCUCGGCAAGCCACACCACCUACGAUGUGGUGAUCCCCCUCCCAUCGAGAACUGCCAUGUAGUUUUCUCUGCCAAGGUUGUUGUCUGUGUCGGUCUACUACGUGGUGCAUUGCCUUCAGUGGAGUGUGGCAUAUGCUUUUGGUUUCUUGUAUUGUUUCUGGUAGAACCUAGGACCGUUGUUCUGGAUGCUCAUUUUGUGUUACAGUGGCUACCAAGCAAACCAAUUGCAUGGCAGAUACGAUCUCUAGAAAAUGGUAGUUGUCACUCGACUUAUGGAUGUGCUGUCAGGAAGGUGCAUUCCUAUGUAAAAUGUGGCUUCUAUGUAUGAUGUACGAAUUGUUUGAUUAUUAUUGCUGUUGUGCUUUGCGUGGUUAAUUUGAUCUAUUAUUUGCUUUGUUUAUUUGCUGUCUUACAAGGCUAAUUUAGUGCUUGGGGCUGCUAUGUGUUUUCAUGU